Molecule: ribosomal RNA, 432 nt
Filed under: uncultured bacterium
Lineage: Bacteria
Description: partial 16S ribosomal RNA
Rfam family: Bacterial small subunit ribosomal RNA
Source: RNAcentral
ACGAACGCUGGCGGCAGGCCUAACACAUGCAAGUCGAGCGAGGACUUCGGUCCUAGCGGCGGACGGGUGAGUAACGCGUGGGAACGUGCCCUUUGCUUCGGAAUAGCCCUGGGAAACUGGGAGUAAUACCGGAUGAGCCCUUUGGGGGAAAGAUUUAUCGGCGAAGGAUCGGCCCGCGUUGGAUUAGGUAGUUGGUGGGGUAAUGGCCUACCAAGCCGACGAUCCAUAGCUGGUUUGAGAGGAUGAUCAGCCACACUGGGACUGAGACACGGCCCAGACUCCUACGGGAAGCAGCAGUGGGGAAUCUUAGACAAUGGGGGAAACCCUGAUCUAGCCAUGCCGCGUGAGCGAUGAAGGCCUUAGGGUUGUAAAGCUCUUUCAGCUGGGAAGAUAAUGACGGUACCAGCAGAAGAAGCCCCGGCUAACUCCGUG